GUGCUUGCUUCGGCAGCACAUAAACUAAAAUUAGAACAAUACAGAGAAGAUUAGCAUGGCCCCUGCACAAGGACAAUACACAAAUUUGUGAAGUGUUCCAUAUUAAA
Molecule: small nuclear RNA, 107 nt
Organism: Pteronotus mesoamericanus
Lineage: Eukaryota; Metazoa; Chordata; Mammalia; Chiroptera; Mormoopidae
Source: RefSeq, a predicted model, not a curated record